AAAUUGAAGAGUUUGAUCAUGGCUCAGAUUGAACGCUGGCGGCAGGCCUAACACAUGCAAGUCGAACGGUAACAGGAAACAGCUUGCUGUUUCGCUGACGAGUGGCGGACGGGUGAGUAAUGUCUGGGAAACUGCCUGAUGGAGGGGGAUAACUACUGGAAACGGUAGCUAAUACCGCAUAACGUCGCAAGACCAAAGAGGGGGACCCUCGGGCCUCUUGCCAUCGGAUGUGCCCAGAUGGGAUUAGCUUGUUGGUG
RNAcentral lists this ribosomal RNA (257 nucleotides) under Escherichia coli. RNAcentral's name for it is "partial 16S ribosomal RNA". It matches the Rfam family "Bacterial small subunit ribosomal RNA", at positions 1 to 254 of the family's 1533-position model. The record is from RNAcentral. Lineage: Bacteria; Pseudomonadati; Pseudomonadota; Gammaproteobacteria; Enterobacterales; Enterobacteriaceae.